UACGUAGGGUGCGAGCGUUGUCCGGAAUUAUUGGGCGUAAAGAGCUCGUAGGCGGUUUGUCGCGUCUGCUGUGAAAACCCGAGGCUCAACCUCGGGCCUGCAGUGGGUACGGGCAGACUAGAGUGCGGUAGGGGAGAUUGGAAUUCCUGGUGUAGCGGUGGAAUGCGCAGAUAUCGGGAGGAACACCAAUGGCGAAGGCAGAUCUCUGGGCCGUAACUGACGCUGAGGAGCGAAAGCAUGGGGAGCGAACAGG
This 253-nucleotide ribosomal RNA is filed under the name uncultured bacterium. RNAcentral describes it as "partial 16S ribosomal RNA". It matches the Rfam family "Bacterial small subunit ribosomal RNA", at positions 524 to 776 of the family's 1533-position model. The record is from RNAcentral.